Molecule: ribosomal RNA, 450 nt
Filed under: uncultured Ectothiorhodospiraceae bacterium
Lineage: Bacteria; Pseudomonadati; Pseudomonadota; Gammaproteobacteria; Chromatiales; Ectothiorhodospiraceae
Description: bacterial SSU rRNA
Rfam family: Bacterial small subunit ribosomal RNA
Source: RNAcentral
CAGUGGGGAAUAUUGGACAAUGGGGGCAACCCUGAUCCAGCAAUGCCGCGUGUGUGAAGAAGGCCUGCGGGUUGUAAAGCACUUUCAGUGGGGAGGAAAAGCCUGGGGCUAAUAUCCCUGGGUCUUGACGUUACCCACAGAAGAAGCACCGGCUAACUCCGUGCCAGCAGCCGCGGUAAUACGGAGGGUGCGAGCGUUAAUCGGAAUUACUGGGCGUAAAGCGCGCGUAGGCGGCUGACUAAGUCGGGUGUGAAAGCCCCGGGCUCAACCUGGGAAUUGCAUUCGAUACUGGUUGGCUGGAGUCUGGUAGAGGGGUGUGGAAUUCCAGGUGUAGCGGUGAAAUGCGUAGAUAUCUGGAGGAACAUCAGUGGCGAAGGCGGCACCCUGGACCAAGACUGACGCUGAGGUGCGAAAGCGUGGGUAGCAAACAGGAUUAGAUACCCUGGUAGU